This 433-nucleotide ribosomal RNA is filed under the name uncultured bacterium. RNAcentral describes it as "partial 16S ribosomal RNA". It matches the Rfam family "Bacterial small subunit ribosomal RNA", at positions 29 to 507 of the family's 1533-position model. The record is from RNAcentral.
AACGAACGCUGGCGGCAUGCCUAACACAUGUAAGUCGAACGAGACCUUCGGGUCUAGUGGCGCACGGGUGCGUAACGCGUGGGAACCUGCCCUUAGGUUCGGAAUAACUCCCCGAAAGGGGUGCUAAUACCGGAUAAUGUCUUCGGACCAAAGAUUUAUCGCCUUUGGAUGGGCCCGCGUUGGAUUAGCUAGUUGGUAGGGUAAAAGCCUACCAAGGCGACGAUCCAUAGCUGGUCUGAGAGGAUGAUCAGCCACACUGGGACUGAGACACGGCCCAGGCUCCUACGGGAGGCAGCAGUGGGGAAUAUUGGACAAUGGGCGAAAGCCUGAUCCAGCAAUGCCGCGUGAGUGAUGAAGGCCUUAGGGUUGUAAAGCUCUUUUACCCGGGAUGAUAAUGACAGUACCGGGAGAAUAAGCUCCGGCUAACUCCGUG